AAUGAACGCUGGCGGCGUGGAUUAGGCAUGCAAGUCGAACGCGAACGUUUGCCUUCGGGUGAACAAGUAGAGUGGCGUAAGGGUGAGUAAUACUUGGAUAACCUACCUUCAAGUCGGGGACAACAGUUCGAAAGGACUGCUAAUACCCGAUGGUCCUGCGAAGAUACGUCUUCGUAGGUAAAGUUUUUCGCUUGGAGAGGGGUCCAAGGCCUAUCAGCUAGUUGGUGAGGUAAUAGCUCACCAAGGCAAUGACGGGUAGCCGGACUGAGAGGUUGGCCGGCCACAUGGGGACUGAGACACUGCCCUG
Molecule: ribosomal RNA, 307 nt
Filed under: uncultured bacterium
Lineage: Bacteria
Description: bacterial SSU rRNA
Rfam family: Bacterial small subunit ribosomal RNA
Source: RNAcentral